Molecule: long non-coding RNA, 4197 nt
Organism: Eleginops maclovinus (Patagonian blennie)
Lineage: Eukaryota; Metazoa; Chordata; Actinopteri; Perciformes; Eleginopidae
Exons: 4
Source: RefSeq, a predicted model, not a curated record
CCAAGAAGGCUGAAUACUCUGAACUGCUGUUUGGUGCAUAAGCACACACAACAGUCAGAGUUUUCCCCCCCAUGACCCGCAGGCGUAGGGAGGCGACCCUCUCGUCCACUGGGGUAAACUCCAACAAAGCGGCACUCAACCGGGGGCUUGUGAGUAUCCCCACACCCGCUCGGCGCCUCACACCUUGGGCAACUCCGGAGAAGAAUAGAGUCCAACCCUUAUCCAGAAGUAAGGUUCCAGAGCCGACGCUGUGCGUAGAGGUGAGCCCCACCAGAUCCAACUGGUAACGCUCCACCUCCCGCACAAGCUCCGGCUCCUUCCCCCCCAGAGAGGAGAAGCACUUAAAAAUCACUAUGCCUAACGACGAUUCAAACACGACCGGUCACAUAUCCUCUGAGCUAUUUGUCCCGAGACAUUGUUGUUCCGUAGACCUUAUGACUCCUUCAUUUGGGUUUCUGGACCUUAAAGAUGAGUGCACCUGAAAAGCUUUGAACCCACAACCCGCAGUCUCAGUCAGUCUUGUAUCCCUCUGAGCCAUUUGACCUGACAGCUCCACCUUUCAUUUGGUAAAUCUAUUCUUGACUCUGGGUUUCAGCUUUUGAAAAGUCCUGCACCUCAUGAGGAUCGAACCCAGGACUUCAGUUUAGCAGAGCAGUGUCACAUCCCUCUGAGAUAUGCAGUAUGAGAUACUCAUGUGUUGUUUGGUAGUUUUUGACACACCCAGAAGAAGCAGGCCACAUCUGCAGGUACCAGGCUGCCAGCUCAGAUAUUUAAAGUUAUUACCUUACUGACAACAGCUGUCUUUAGCUAUGCCCUCACUGUUGAAUCACCAGUAGUAAAGUCCUGAUCCUGGUCCUGUAAAAGUACACAAGUUGAACUAUCAGAAUAUAUUUAAAAAGUAAAAACCCUCCUUAUGCGCAAUGGCCUAUUUCAGAAUCCCAUGUAUAGUGAGUGACUGGGUUACUGUUCUGAUUAUUCCUGUGUUUUCAUCACAACUGGUAAAGGCCAUAUGACCUGAACUGGUACGGUAAGGUUUUUGUAGUGCUUUUGACUUUGAAGGACACUCAUUCAUCAACCCUAAUCCAAACAAAUGAAAUGUUUAUAUAAGAGGGGACCCUUUUCUGUCACAGUAUGGAAAAUAAAGUCAUAGCAUAGUAUGCCAAAAAUAUGCAAAUAAAAGUCAGCGACAUCAGUGCAAGAUAUACCAUUUUUAUGCAGCAUUUGAGAACAAAAAGGUACAAAGGUAUCACAAAUUGGUAAACCAACCAAAGACAAAUUUAAAUGUCAUGUCAUUCUGACAGUAAUGAAUCAGAAGCUGCUAAAUCAGAACAGUGAAGUACUGCAGUCCUAAACAUGUGUAGAGGAGUUAAAUGUGCAAAACCACUUAGUAUGGACAUUGCAGAAACGUUUGUCUGGAGUUUGAUUUGACAACGAUCGGCGGUGUGCAAUAAUCCUACCCGUAUGUACGAACAGACACAAGGCUACGGUGGAUAGAUCAGUCACUGGCCUUGUAACAUGUGCAAACCCAAAAUAAGGCACACGCAUAUGUAUAUAUUAUAUAUACAUAUAGAAAUUUGAUAAGCAUCUUCUUCAAGGCAUCAGACAGAGGACACAGGUACGGCACGGUAAAUAAAUAGCCAUGCAUUUGUAUCUGUGGAUCUCUGUGGCAAAAUGUGCACGUGUACAUUUGGCUGAGGCACAGUGAGCGGAGGGCCUCUCGGGGUCCCGUAUCCCGUCGGGCUACGGCGACGAGGUCUUUGACUCGGCCCUCUGCGAGAGCCCAGGCACUUUGUGAAAUCAGAGGGUUCCCUGCGAGCUCAGAGCGCCGUCUCAAAGAUCACCAAGUGACCGUCUGCCGUCUCCGCGUGUCCGUUUGCCACGUCGGGAUGGCUUUUGCUGUUGUACGCCUGAAGGGAAGAGAGUUUGUAAGGAGCGAUGGAAAACAUUUCUGUAGCUUUGGCUUUGUAAAUUGUUUGCAGAGACCGACCUGUUUGGCCGCUUGCAGAAGAGCUGCUGCCUCCUGCCUGCCGGUCUGCAGCACCAUCUUGCAAAAGAUGCCUUCUGGAUCUUGAAGCAGCGUGUAAGGCGCAUCGUAGGCCUGAAUCUUCCCUGCGUCUAGCACCUGGGGACCAAAGUGAGAUUUCACAUAUUAUUAUAUAACCGUGCAGAGGCUUGUUUGUCGAUAGUGCUGCAACUCUAGGACUUACCAUGAUCCUGUCGCUGUCUAUGAUGGUGUUGAGGCGGUGAGCGAUGGUGAGCACGGUGCACUCUCUGAACUUGUCCCGAAUGGUUUGCUGGAUCAGUUCGUCCGUCCUGCAGAGAGACAGGGUAACGACACAGACAUCUGUAAACAAAAGGAUUUAAGCUGAAAAAGAAGCCGUGCCAGGUCUCGCACGAGCGGUACCUGGGGUCCACGUUGGCCGUGGCCUCGUCGAUGACCAGGAUGCGGUUCUGACGGAGAACUGCCCGGGCCAGACACACCAGCUGCCUCUGUCCCACGCUGAAGUUGGAACCCGACUCGGCCAGCACCGUCUCCAGCUUCCCGGGCAGCUCCUCCACCACCGACUUCAGCUGCACCUGUGGGGGGGAAAGGGGGAGUUAGCCUGAUGCACGCGUCAGAGGGAGCAUCAGACUGAACUGCAGGACACACAGGUUUGUACCGACCUCUUCCAGAGCCCUCCACAGGUCCUCGUCGGAGUGCUGGCUGAAGGGGUCAAGGUUCUUCCUCAUGGAGCCUGUAAACAGCACCGGGUCCUGGAGAACAGAGGGAACAGAACCAAGGUCAGACUCAAGCUGGAUAUUCAUUCUCAAAUGGGCAAACAUCACAUUUAAUCUGUAAAUUAUUGUGGGCUACUCGGCCGAAUGAGGGAAAUUAUUAACAUGCUUAAUAAGCAGGAGUCAUUAAAUGUGUCCAAUUAUAACAAUGGGAUGUGAUGGUAACAGAAGGUCUUUGGAUGUGCACCUGAGGGAUGAUGGACAUCUUUGUGCGCAGGUCGUGGAGGCCGAUCUCAGAGGUCAGAACUCCGUCAAUGUAGAUCUUCCCCUGAGGCUCGGCCAGGCGGAACAGAGCCGACACCAGAGAGCUCUUCCCGGCGCCCGUCCUCCCCACGAUGCCCACCUGACACGCAGAGAACCAGAGUCCGGUUAAACCUGGUGUAUACUGUCUCAGAGCAGACCGAUCAAACGUGUCUCACCUUCUCUUGAGGUCUGAACAUAGCCUUCAUGUUUUUCAGCACCAGUGGUCCGUUGGGGCUGUAGGAGAAGCUGACACGGUCAAAGGUCACCAGGCCUUUGCUGGGCCAAUCAGGAGGAGGACGCUUCUCGGUUUCCCAGGGUGCCUCGCUCUCCAGCUCGGUGUACUCCACCACCCUCUCCACUGACGUCAUCUGAACGCAGAUUGAUGUCAAAGAAGCGCACGGGCGUCCUGAGUAUGCUGUUGAACAUUCGGUUGUGCAGGACCUGUGUGCUCUUCACCAGGAUGUGGAACAUGGUCAUGUUCCUCACAAAGCCGAACAGGAUGGUGGCCGCCGUCAAACCUGGAAAACACACCGGAAAAACCCUCUGUCAGACUACCGCUGCGCACAAAGGGGAGGAGUAAACAACCGUUGCCAGGUUACCUCCGUAAAUGCCCAGUUACCAAUGAGCCAACCACCAGUCCUGCAAAAUGUAUGCCACCUAGAAGAUUGAAAAGAGAGGGCAACAGCUGUACCAGAGGAUUUUACUUCAACCCGUCACUGCCCUCUGUUGGCCUUCCCUGCGUACCUGAGCCAGGACGUUGAUCAGGAAGACGAUGAUCAGAAACACCGCGCCGGCUCCGGCUUUCAUGUACUUGACGUACAGACCCGCUCCGAUGGUUCCCUGAGCGCGACUCUCCUCUGCUACCGUUUGCACAGCCUCUGCCUGCGUGGACAGACACCGUGACCAAGUGCACAGAAAAGCUUAAAAAUACUUGUUUUGUCCAACAGAAACCCGCACGUCACACAAAAGACAUUGUCAAAAGAGUAUUUGGUUAGAUAAGACACACGUUUAUGAACUUAUGAUGACAUCGUGUUUUUAUGUUGGACUGAACGAGGCUCUGGAGCAGUAUAGCGUUCAUACUAUUGAAUUGUAAUAUUAGCAUCACCUAAUCUUUACCCACAGGUGUGUCAAACAACAUGAAAUGAAAAGUAUUAAACUCAAAUAAAUGGAACAGGAAUA